AGAGUUUGAUCCUGGCUCAGAGCGAACGCUGGCGGCAGGCCUAAUACAUGCAAGUCGAGCGGCCCUUCGGGGCAGCGGCGGACGGGUGAGUAACGCGUGGGAAUGUGCCCUUUGGUACGGAACAACACAGGGAAACUUGUGCUAAUACCGUAUGUGCCCUUCGGGGGAAAGAUUUAUCGCCAUUGGAGCAGCCCGCGUUGGAUUAGCUAGUUGGUGGGGUAAAGGCCCACCAAGGCGACGAUCCAUAGCUGGUCUGAGAGGAUGAUCAGCCACACUGGGACUGAGACACGGCCCAGACUCCUACGGGAGGCAGCUGUAGGGAAUCUUGCGCAAUGGGCGAAAGCCUGACGCAGCCAUGCCGCGUGAAUGAUGAAGGUCUUAGGAUUGUAAAUUCUUUCACCGGGGAAGAUAAUGACGUACCCGGAGAGA
Molecule: ribosomal RNA, 429 nt
Filed under: uncultured bacterium
Lineage: Bacteria
Description: bacterial SSU rRNA
Rfam family: Bacterial small subunit ribosomal RNA
Source: RNAcentral